UACGUAGGGUGCGAGCGUUAAUCGGAAUUACUGGGCGUAAAGUGUGCGCAGGCGGUCUCGCAAGUCAAGUGUGAAAGCCCCGGGCUUAACCUGGGAACUGCGCUUGAAACUACGAGACUCGAGUGUGGCAGAGGAAGGUGGAAUUCCACGUGUAGCGGUGAAAUGACGUAGAGAUGUGGAGGAACACCGAUGGCGAAGGCAGCCUUCUGGGCCAACACUGACGCUCAUGCACGAAAGCGUGGGGAGCAAACAGG
Molecule: ribosomal RNA, 254 nt
Filed under: uncultured bacterium
Lineage: Bacteria
Description: partial 16S ribosomal RNA
Rfam family: Bacterial small subunit ribosomal RNA
Source: RNAcentral